UUUCCGUAGGUGAACCUGCGGAAGGAUCAUUAUCGAAUCCUACCAGGGAGGGGAGGGAAGACGGAUGGAGGAGUCAAGGCUGUCGCCGGCAACGUGCACGCCCCUUUCUCUUUCGUGGAACCUCCCCUUUCUAGUUUACUUAUCCACCUGUGCACCCUUUGUAGGCCCUCGAAAGAGGAUCUACGUUUUCUCUAUAUACGCUUUUUGCUACGCAUGUCCAGAAUGUAUACAAACUUUACAACUUUCAGCAACGGAUCUCUUGGCUCUC
Molecule: unclassified non-coding RNA, 268 nt
Filed under: plant metagenome
Description: partial contains small subunit ribosomal RNA, internal transcribed spacer 1, and 5.8S ribosomal RNA
Source: RNAcentral